AACGCACAUUGCGCCCGCGAGUAUUCUCGCGGGCAUGCCUGUUCGAGCGUCAUUUCAACCAUCAAGCCCCCGGCUUGUGUUGGGGACCUGCGGCUGCCCGCAGGCCCUGAAAUCCAGUGGCGGGCUCGCUGUCACACCGGGCGUAGUAGAUUUUAUCUCGCUCAGGGCGUGCUGCGGGUUCCGGCCGUUAAAAAGCCUUUUUUACCCAAGGUUGACCUCGGAUCAGGUAGGAAUACCCGCUGAACUUAA
This 249-nucleotide unclassified non-coding RNA is filed under the name uncultured Chaetomiaceae. RNAcentral's name for it is "sequence contains ITS2". The stretch from base 1 to 52 matches the Rfam family "5.8S ribosomal RNA", at positions 103 to 154 of the family's 154-position model. The record is from RNAcentral. Lineage: Eukaryota; Fungi; Ascomycota; Sordariomycetes; Sordariales.